CACUCUUAAGACAACUAGGGUUUCAAGUUAGGCUUCCAUUCACUGAACUAAAGUCGAGAAUCAUGCAAACUUACCGGGCAACCUUCGGAGGUACGAUUUGGAUUAAAGGCGACAUUUCUCAGGCUACAGAGGUGUAUUUCAAUGAGAAAACGCCAUUUCACCUCAAAAAGUUUCCAUCGUAUGAGGAACCAAAGAAGAUAGUGAAGGCUUUAAGGGAGAAUUGGCACCCCAACUUUGCCAACAUCUCCCUGAUUUUUCAGGUUGACGGUCAAAGUGGUUAUUUUUUAGCUUUCGAGAAGUUGGGGAAGAGUUUAGGAGAAGCAAUUAUUUUUCAGGGAUCAUUUAAUUUCUGAAAUGUAUCAACAGGUUUUAAUUGAAUUGCUUCGACUUUUUCGGCAUUUGCUAAAGCUCGAAGUGAAGGGCAAUCUUAGCAUACAAAAUAUUUUCAUUUCGGGUGGAGCUUCUUGUCAUAUUACCGUGAUUGAUUAUAGUGUUAGAGGUAAAGUACUUUUUUAACCACAAAUUAAUUUGGAGUUACUUGUAUUUUUUU
Molecule: non-coding RNA, 550 nt
Organism: Camellia sinensis
Lineage: Eukaryota; Viridiplantae; Streptophyta; Magnoliopsida; Ericales; Theaceae
Source: RefSeq, a predicted model, not a curated record